Molecule: long non-coding RNA, 3656 nt
Filed under: Lynx pardinus (Iberian lynx)
Lineage: Eukaryota; Metazoa; Chordata; Mammalia; Carnivora; Felidae
Source: RNAcentral
CUAGAUUUCGAAACCCCGCCUCUCCGUGACGUCUGCACGCCCGGUCGCGUCGGAUUAUAAAAGCCUUGCGGGCUGCGUCAGUUCUUAGAAGCUUAGCUGUGGAUCACGUUCAUGUACUUGCCGGACGCCAGAUCUCCUUUGCAGCGACAGCGAUUGCGGUAGCCGGUGACAACGUGAGUCCCAGAGCCCGACACCGGAGGGCGAGAUGAACGCGCUGGCUUCCCGAGCCAUCCAGAUCCGCGAUCGCUUGUGGCAGCCCGAGCCGGCCCUCCUACCCCCAGGGUGACGCGCAGCCCGGAGUCGGUGAGUGAGGGGUCGGAACGCCAGGGCCCUGAGGGGUUGAGGGCUGGGAAUCAGACUCCGGGUCAGUAAUGAGGAGGGAGUUUGGACUUCUAGGUACGUAGACGGGAGGGUUCGAGGCCGGGACUCGUGAGUUCCGAGGAAGGGUGGCCUGGGAGCCUGAACUCUUGCGUCUGGGAACAGGUGCGGCCGGGACGGACUCCAGGGCUCGGACUUAGGAAGGAGAAAGGAUUGGGAGCCUGGAGCCUUGAGCCUGGCGGGAGGAGGGCUCUGGAAGCCAGACUCCUGGAUCCCCAGUGAUGGAACCAUGCGGGGGGUCGGAACGUUUGAGUCUCAGAGGGAGGAAGGUCUUGAGGGCCCGAUAUGUCAGUCCUCAGGAUGGAUAAGAGAACCAGGGGCUAGGACCUUGUCCCCAAGGGAAGCAAGUAGAGACCCUGUAUUCUCAGUUCUGGAAACUGAGCCUUCUUAGUCUGAGAGAAGAGGCUGGGGGGCUUGGACUCUUGGGCCUAAGAAAAAUGAGAGAAGUGGGGACUCAGACUCCUGGGUAUUGAGAGAACGGAGGUGGGGAGGAGGUGGGAACCGUCUACCUCUGCUGGAGAAGGGAGUGGCAGGGCUCAGAAAGGAAUGUGGGGGAGGGACUCUCACGUUGCUGUUUGUGUCACUAUUUCCAUGGCUGUGACUCACAGUCAUCCCAUGAUGCUCUCCCCUAAAUGGCUUCUGAGCUUUGUUUCCUUUUGUCCCAGCACAGACAGAUGGCCCCAGGCCAAGCGCCCCAUCAGUCUGCCCCCUGGAGGGGUACCCACCCCUUUUUCCUCCUGUCCCCGCUGGUGGGCCUUCUCAGCAGGGCCUGGAGCCACCUGAGGGGCCCAGGACCUCCAGAACCCUGGCUGUUGGAACCAGUAGCCAGAGCCGAUCAAGGAGAAGCUGGUCUGGAGGGAGCAGCUCAGACUUUUGUGGGCAUCCACUGUGCCCCGGAGGGCAGGCACUUUCAAGGGGAGACUGGAGACAGUGGAGCAGUUGAGGACGAUGGAGACGCAUUCCGGGGGGCCUGCCACGAUCUAAAAGCCAGUAGUUCUCUCCUUGAAGCCUGGGGACUUUCAGAUGAUGGUGAUGAAGAGGAUCAAACAACCAGUGUCCCUCAAGAGCAAGCAAGUGACUUUGUAGGUGGCCAGCCUGCUCCCCUCUCCCCUACCCUUCCAGUAAGAGCCCUGCAGGACCCUCCCGGAGAGGAGAAGUCUGAGGAAGGAGGAGCUGCUGAAACUGAAAUGGUCACGUUUUUCUCUUUUCCUCCAUCACCCUGGGAGUGUUGUCCAGGGGAGGAGGAAGAGGAAGGAGGAGCUAUAAAGAAAGAAGCUGCCAGAGCACCUGCUUUUCCUUUGUCUCCAGGAUCCAAGCCUAAAGCUCGGGGGUAUCGUGCUGGGGAGGAAGAGGGUCAAGCGACAGAGGAAAAAACAACAGAAAAUAAAGAAGCCGCAAAGAGCUCCGUUUUCCCCUCAUCUUCAGGCUUUCAUGCUAGGGCCUGGGAGCGUGGUUCAGGAGAGGAGUCUGAGGAGGAGGAAGAUGAAUUCGGUGACUCGGGAGCAGCUGAGGAGGAGGGAGAAGCUGAGGGUCCCUCUUCCAUCCCAUCCACAAAUGCCUUCGUCAGGGCCUGGGUGUACCGGCCAGGAGAGGACACGGAGGACGAGGAGGAGGAGGAAGAUGAAUUCAGUGACUUGGGAGCAGCUGAGGAGGGGGGAGAAGCUGAGGGUCCCUCUUCCAUCCCAUCCACAAAUACUUUCAUCAGGGGCUGGGUGUAUCGGCCAGGAGAGGACACGGAGGAGGAGGAGGAAGAUGAAUCCAGUGACUCGAGAGCAGCUGAGGAGGAGGGAGAAGCUGAGGGUCCCUCUUCCAUCCCAUCCACAAGUGCCUUCGUCAGGGCCUGGGUGUACCGGCCAGGAGAGGACACGGAGGAUGAGGAGGAAGAGGAGUUCAGUGACUCAGGAGCAGCUGAGGAGGAGGGAGAAGCUGAGGCUUCUCCUUCUGUCCCCCCAACAGGUACCUUCUUAAGGGCCUGGGUUUAUCGGCCAGGAGAGGACACAGAAGAGGAAGAUGAGAAUGAGGAGGAUGAUGACUCAGAAGCCACUGACUCGGCGCUGAGUCCCUCACUUCAGGCUCAGAGCGCCCUCCUCGGGGGCUGGAUGUAUCGGCCGGGAGAGGACACAGAAGGAAGGGAAGUUGCUAAGCAGCAGGGAGAAGCUGAGCCCCGCCCCUUCCGAGUGGCCAUCUAUUUACCUGGAGAAAGGCCACCACCUCCCUGGGCUCCCCCUCGGCUACCCGUCCGACUGCAGAGGCGACUUAAGUCCACGGAAACCCCCGCCCGGCAUCCUGACCCUGAGCCUCCCGUAAAGGCCAGAAAGGUGGGUGCUGAGGGCUCAAGUUCUCCAGUCUCAGGGAGGAGCUGGAACUCUUAUCUUCCUUCCUGGAGCUCCUGGGCUGGGGCGGGGGAGGGGCUGAACGCCCCAACUUCUGGGUCCCCUGUGUGUUGCAGACGGUUGCACGUGAACUCCGCUGGGAGGGCUGUGUUCACGGUAACGCAAUCCUUUGCAAGAGGCUGGGCCCCUGUGAGGAGAGGGGGCAGCUGUGGUUCAUUGUCAGCAUCAGGGAACCAACCGCCUCCAUCUGCAGGGGGCCGGAUCUGGUGGGUGAAUGGCUAGCAGGUGACUAACCAGAUCACAAGCAUUCUUGUGUAACUAAUUUUUGUUUGGUUCUCUCUCUCUUUUCCCGGCCCCUCCCCCCCGCCCCUCUCCCUGUGGACAUGUGCGUCUUGUGUCUGUGCUGGUCCACCUUCAGGUACGCUUCUCUGAGAAGGUCUCUGUCCAUCUCCUGGCUGUCUGGGCGGGACCAGCCCGGGCCGCCCGCCGGGGACCCUGGGAGCAGCUAGCCCGAGAUCGAAGUCGCUUCGCCCGUCGCAUUGCUCAGGCCCAGGAGCAGCUGGGCCCCUGUCUCACUCCUGCUGCCCGGGCCAGGGCCUGGGCACGCUUUGGGAACCCUACGCCUCCUGUGGCCGCCACACCUGCUCCUACCCAGAUCUUACCAUUGUCUUCCGUCCAGGCCACAGCCUUGAGCCCUGUUACGGCAUCUCCCUUCGCCCCUCUGUCCCUGUCUCCCGGCUUGGACCUCAGUGGGAGGCGUGGCUAAGAUCAUGUAGUUUCAUGUUUAUAUUAAUUAUUUAUUUUUUGUAUAUUGUUUUAUAUAAGAAAUAAAACUUUGUGAUUUGUAGCAAGCAAUGUCCCUGCCACUGUGUGUAUCUGAACUGACGAUCUCCACUACCCUCGGGAUAAAGGGGAGUACUCAAUAGAGAAUAAACUGUAUUUCCC